UGAGUAACACGUAGGUGACCUACCCCAAAGAGGGGGAUAACGGCCCGAAAGGGCUGCUAAUACCCCAUGUGAUUAGCGAUUCAUUUCGUUAAUUAAAGCUUCCGCAAGGAGUGUGCUUUGGGAGGGGCCUGCGGCGGAUUAGAUUGUUGGUGGGGUAAUGGCCUACCAAGUCGAUGAUCCGUAGCUAGUCUGAGAGGACGAUUAGCCACACUGGCACUGACACACGGGCCAG
This 232-nucleotide ribosomal RNA is filed under the name uncultured bacterium. RNAcentral describes it as "partial 16S ribosomal RNA". It matches the Rfam family "Bacterial small subunit ribosomal RNA", at positions 107 to 334 of the family's 1533-position model. The record is from RNAcentral.